CCUCCUUCACUUUGCUUAAAGAGUUUUAGUCUCUAGAACUCGACUAGUCCUGUAUCGGUCAGGCUUCUCCAAGAACUUGACUUGACCAUCUUAGAACUUCCUCUAGACUUCUGAAUCUCCUUCUUUAGGCCCUUCACAAUCCUUUUCUAGAUCAGAUAAGGUUUUUUCUUAAAUCCCAAAGCCUUAUCCUAAAACUAAGAUAGGUUGUAAGAAAGAAGGGAGAGCAACGAAGAGG
This 235-nucleotide long non-coding RNA is filed under the name Elaeis guineensis (African oil palm). RNAcentral's name for it is "long non-coding RNA (EGUI_LNC043708)". The record is from RNAcentral. Lineage: Eukaryota; Viridiplantae; Streptophyta; Magnoliopsida; Arecales; Arecaceae.